UACGAAGGGGGCUAGCGUUGCUCGGAAUCACUGGGCGUAAAGGGAGCGUAGGCGGACAUUUAAGUCAGGGGUGAAAUCCCGGAGCUCAACUCCGGAACUGCCUUUGAUACUGGGUGUCUUGAGUGUGAGAGAGGUGAGUGGAACUCCGAGUGUAGAGGUGAAAUUCGUAGAUAUUCGGAAGAACACCAGUGGCGAAGGCGACUCACUAGCUCAUUACUGACGCUGAGGCUCGAAAGCGUGGGGAGCAAACAGG
RNAcentral lists this ribosomal RNA (253 nucleotides) under uncultured bacterium. Its description in RNAcentral is "partial 16S ribosomal RNA". It matches the Rfam family "Bacterial small subunit ribosomal RNA", at positions 524 to 776 of the family's 1533-position model. The record is from RNAcentral.